AUAUACCAUUUUGGAAAAAAGGGACCAUUAAAUGUCUUAAAAGACAUGAAUCAAUCAAAUACCAUUUUAGGAAAAAUGGAACCAUUAUGUCUUAAAGACAUGAAUCACAUCACCAUUUUUUUUAUAACGUGAGAUUUCAAGAAUUCAAAAUAUGAUAGCGUCUUCAACACUUCAAAAAAAAAUUCGAGAUUUCAGAGCACCUUAAUUAACGUGAGAUAUUGCAAUAUUAAAGAAGUACGGUGUAAUCUUUCUCAAGAGAAUCGACUCAGGUAUGUUAAGGCUAAUUCUUCUUUCUUUUGGCAUGAUCCAAGUAACGAUACGCAAACGUAAUGAUAUUCCAUAAGUGGUUCUACUCUUAGCAGUUAAGGAUGUCUAUGUUAUUCGUUCCCCUACGAUCAUGCAUAUCAAUUUGAGGACAUUAAUUAGGUGUAAUAGUUGGCAUCCUGUGUUCAUGACUUUUCUGAGAUUUGUUAAGAUCACAUUCUAGCCCCUCUACGUGUUUUGGGAACGAUCUUUUUCUAAUUUAAUCCUUAAUUUUAAUACUUUUAAUAAUAUAGAGAAAGCAAGAAAAGGACGAAGACAGAUUUGAUGUAAUAAGAUAUUAUUAUGCUCUAACCAGAUUCAUACUUAUUUGCAGCUUACUUGACUUAGUGGGUGAGAGAAAAUUGUAGGUCAGUUUGGUUGUGUACUAAUUACACAGAUUUGGUGCUUCAUUUUUGGAGUGUUUCUAUAGAUAUAAUUUUUAUUUCAUGGAUAUUACUCCGAGCAGAGGGCUUCCACUAAAAAAAUAAUUUUCAUGUCAUUUGGUUCCUUUUGUAAUCAGUAGCCUAAAUUACAGCCAUAUUUCUACGAUUCAUCAAAAUCCAGAAAACAAUCAAAAAAAUUCGAAAAAAGACUUUUUUGAUUGGAUGGGAAUGAAUGAAAAAAUAUUAAAUCGUCCCAUAUUGAAUCUGGAAUUUUGGCUCUUCCCAGAAUUUGUACCAUUUUAUAAUGUAUAUAAAAUAAUACCGUGGAUUAUACCAAGCAAAUUACUUCUUUUAAAUUUGAAUACAAAUGAAAAUGUUAGUCAAAAUAAAAACAAAAAACAAAACUUUUUUCAACGAUCAAAUAAAAAAAUAAAGAAUCGAAUUCAAGAAGAAAAAGAACCCGCAAGUCAAGGAGAAAAAGAGCGUGGAUCAGAUAUAGAAAACAAAGGAAAUCUGGGCCCUGUUCUCUCAAAACAACGGAGCUUAACCUGAGUCUCGGUUAAGAACGACGAUGAUAUACGUUUCACACGGCGCACGAUUCCAUGGAUAGUUUUAUUCGAGAUCAUGAUGGAGGACAUAGCUUACGAUCAUCGGCUUUGAUCAUGCCACUAGGCAUUUGAUUAAGACAUUGCACAAUGAUCCGAACACUUUGUCGCAUCUAUAGUAUUUUUGCCCUGGUGGAUUUCUUUCUCAGUUAAUAAAUGUCUGGAAUCUUGAGUUACUAAUUGGUGGAAUACUGGGCAAUCCGAAAUCUUUUUGAAUAAUAUUCAAGAAAAGACGAUUCCUUGUGGAAAAAAAACGAUUUGCUGAGGCGGAAAAAAAGAUAUCAAAUUUCUACCAAGAUAACUGGAAGUUCCAACUAAUAAGAAGCCAGUAUAAUAAGUCAAUUUGUACUCUUUAACACCAGCUUUGAAUCCAACACUUGCUUUAGUCUCUGUUUGUGGUGACAUAAAUCCCUCCCUACAACUCAUGAAUUAAGAAUUCUCACAACAACAAGGUCUACUCGACACGAAUUCCGCGUUAAUAAAACUUUUCACAGGAAUCUUUCACAAAAUUUCCAACUAAUACUAAUAUUAUCAACUAAUCAGAAUGGCAGUCAUGCAUUUACCACUAUUCUACGGCCGGUUGGGUAGUUACAUAUUUACCACCCAACUACGUCCGGUCGGGCAGUCAUGUAUUUACCACCGCGCUAUGGCCGUUCGGGCAGUUACCACCGGUAGGGCAGUUAUGUAUUAUUAUUUNNNNNNNNNNNNNNNNNNNNNNNNNGCAUAUACGGUGGCACUCCAGAGAUUCAGGUUGAUUCUUAUAUAUAUUUAAUUAAUGUUGAAUUAUGGUUAUGUUUCAGUUCUGCCUUACAUACUCAGUACAUUAUUCGUACUGAUGUCCUUUUGUUGGGGACGCUGCAUUCAUGCCUGGAGAUAUAGAUAAUCAAUUUGACAAGCCCUCAUAGUAGACGAGAUUGGCAUCCAACGAAGAAUCGGUAAGACUCCACCUCAUUCAGAGUGCAGCCGAGUUUAUGAAUCAUCGUGUCAGGAUUUUGCUACAGACUUAUGAGUAGGCCGGUACCCUAUCCCAUUUGAUGUCAAAUAAUCUUAGAGGCUUUGUAGAUAGAGGUUCAUUUUGUACAGUAUGUCAGAGUCCAUGACGGCACAUAUGUAUUCAUGUUUUAAGAAAAAUGGUUCAGUGAUACUGUAUUGCCCACUUAUAGUUACACAUUACGAGUUGUGGCCAUGUUGGCCCAUGAUAGUUACCAAAACAAAUAUAGUUAUAUAAUGGUUCGAUCGGGCCAGUGCGAUACCGGGUGCCAGCUACGCCUCCCCAGGUUUGGGAUGUGAUAAGUAGUAUCAGAGCGGGUCGCGUCCUAGGGAGUCUACAAAGCCGUGUCUAGUAGAGUCUCACUUAUGGAUGUGUUGCGCGCCACAUUUUUAAUUGAGAGGCUAUAGGGUAUUUAGGAAAUAUUACCCUUCUUUUAUUUCCAGAUCAUGACAUAGAGCUGAGUCGUAAGGAAUCAGUACGAAGCUUUCGCUAGAUUUUGUAUGCACCAGAGGUGCAGGUAUUACAGUAGAGCUUUAAGGCGUAAUAUGGAAGGGAGUUUAUGAAAGAAACAGAAGAUACAAUGCGAGAUUGAAAGGUAAGUAAGGUAAAGGUAAAGAAGAUACGAGAUAUUCAAGUACAAGAGAUUGUGAAUAGUCGAGACUUCAGAUAGAGGUUGGGUUUUAGUUUAGUUUACAGAAGAGACCCUAGCAAAAGUUUUAAAAAUCUCAAGAGUUAACAUUCGAGGACGAAUGUUUCUAAAGGGGGGAAGGAUGUUACAUCCCGUACCUUAGCAUAAGGAUGUGCCGUAGUAAAUCCACAUGAGUUCGAAGGGAUUAUGUCUAUUAGAAGGUUAUAGAGAGUUUAAGACAUUAUUAUUAUGAGACCCUAUAAAUUUACAACCUUGAUACCGUUACAUAUUAUGUUAAUGUGGUAUCUUCUUUUAAGUGGAGUAUUUUAGUAAAAGUUUUAUAAGUAUAAUUUUGGAUAGUUACCAUUAUUACUAUUUUUGAAUAUGGUAAAUUAUACACAUAAUAUAAGAAAGUUUAUGAGAUUUUCUUUAUUGUAAAGAUAGAAAUUAUUUUCUCACAAGAAAAGAAGGUUAUCUUUUUACCAUUUUAAGAAUUAAGCGUACGAGAAUUUUUAUUCUUUAUAUGAGAUUAGGAAAAUUAUAAGUUGAAAAAAUAUAUGUAUUUUUUUUACAUGGAUAUUUUAAUAAAAUAAUAAGUGUAUAUAUUUAUUUUAUAUGGUACCAUAUGACCAUGAUAGUAUGAUGUAUAAAGUGUGUUUAAAGUGAGUAAUAUUUUAAGUAAUUUGAGAUAAUUAUUAAUUAGUGGUUAAUUAAGAUCUUUUGGAUAAAGACCAAAAUGUCACGUGGCAGCAAGACCAUGUCCAAAUUGUGACUCUUACAAUUGAGUGAUAGGUGGCAUAUUUAUUAAUAUGCUGCAAGAUUUGAAAAUUUGACAAGUCUUCUAACAUGAAUCAUAUACCAUUUGGGGAAAAAGGGACCACUAAAUGUCUUAAAAGACAUGAAUCAAUCAGAUACCAUUUUAGGAAAAAUGGAACCAUUAUGUCUUAAAGACAUGAAUCACAUUACCAUUUUUUUUAUAACGUGAGAUUUCAAGAAUUCAAAAUAUGAUAGCGUCUUCAACACUUCAAAAAAAAUUCGAGAUUUCAGUGCACCUUAAUUAACGUGAAAUAUUGCAAUAUUAAGGGUGUACGGUGUAAUCUUUUUCAAAAGAAUCGAUUCAGGUAUGUUAAGGCUAAUUUUUCUUUCUUUUGGCAUGAUCCAAGUAACGAUACGCAAACGUAAUGAUAUUCCAUAAGUGAUUCUACUCUUAGCAGUUAAGGAUGUCUAUAUUAUUCGUUCCCCUACGAUCAUGCAUAUCAAUUUGAGGACAUUAAUUACGUGUAAUAGUUGGCAUCCUGUGUUCAUGACUUUUCUGAGAUUUGUUAAGAUCACAUUCUAGCCCCUCUACGUAUUUUGGGAACAAUCUUGUUCCAAUUUAAUCCUUAAUUUUAAUACCUUUAAUGAUAUAAAGAAAGCAAGAAAAGGACGAAGGCAGAUUUGAUGUAAUAAGAUAUUAUUAUGCUCUAACCAUAUUCAUACUUAUUUGCAGCUUACUUGACUUAGUGGGUCAGAGAAAAUUGUAGGUCAGUUUGGUUGUGUACUAAUUACACAGAUUUGGUGUUUCAUUUUUGGAGUGUUUCCAUAGAUAUAAUUUUUAUUUCAUGGAUAUUACUCCGAGCAGAAGGCUUCCACUAAAAAAAUAAUUUUCAUUUCAUUUGGUUCCUUUUGUAGUCAGUAGCCUAAAUUACAGCUGUAUUUCCUAACGAAGUAUGGCAGUCAUGCAUUUACCAC
RNAcentral lists this long non-coding RNA (4641 nucleotides) under Nicotiana tabacum (common tobacco). RNAcentral's name for it is "long non-coding RNA (NTAB_LNC006887)". Lineage: Eukaryota; Viridiplantae; Streptophyta; Magnoliopsida; Solanales; Solanaceae. The record is from RNAcentral.